UGCCUGUUCUGUUUACAUUGGAGCUGGGGAAAUUCUCCAAGGUUCAUAUUUAUCCGUGUGCUUAGCGAAGGGACUGAACUUUGGACUUCAGCCCUGCAAAGUGCAGGCCUCAUGGCAGCGGAGAGGGACAGGGAGCUAUGGCCUGCGAUGGGAGUGGGCAGAGGGGAGGGUGGGGGAGGCGCAGGUGAGGGGCCCUGAGCAGCUGGGAUGGAAGGUGCUGGGAGCCAGGGAGGCCAUCAGGAGAGCAGCGUUGGGUCCCACCCCCGAAAGAACCUUGUAGGGGCAUCAUGCUGAGACAGGAGAGCCAAAAAUGCUUGCUGCUUACGAGAGCGGCAGCAGCAGGGAGCUCUAGACAGCUGGGCUAGCUCUUCUCAAGGGCAGAGGAUGCUCACGGCCAUUUUGGGGCCCUUCCAUCCAUUUUGGGACCCUUCCACCCCACUCCCGGCCUGACACCAGGCCUCCCUGUAGGAAAAAAUAUGUUAAGAUUACCAUGUGCCAAGAACAGUGCUGGCUCUGUGAGGGCGAAUUCACUUCAUUGCAUUCUGCUACCAACUGUGAGCAGUUACAGAGAUUAUCCCCAUUUUAUAGAGGAGGAAAUCGAGGCUCUGAGCGGUUAAGUAACUUGUCCAGGGUCAUACAGCCAGCAAGGCAGAAAACAUGCAAGGUGAGACUGAGUUGGGAUGAGUGUGACACUUGCCUCAGGUGCAAAUUUAUUUUUUUAUUUUUUGAGCUAUGUUCUCACUUUGUCACCCAGGCUGGAGUGCUGUGGCGCGAUCAUGGCUUACUGCAGCCUUGACUUCCUGGGUUCAGGUGAUCCUCCCGCCUCAGCCACCCAAGUACCCAAGUAGCUGGCACUACAGGCACGCACCACGACACCCAGCUGAUUUUGUGUGUGUGUGUUGUGUGUGUUUGGGUUGUGUGUGUGUGUGUUUUUGAGACAGAGUCUCACUCUGUCACCCAGGCUUGGAGUGCAGUGGAGCAAUCUUGGCUCACUGCAACCUCCGCCUCCCAGGUUCAAGCGAUUCCCCUGCCUCAGCCUCCGGAGUAGCUGGGAUUACAGGCACAUACCACUACACCCGGCUAAUUUUUUUGUAUUCUUUAUUGAGUUGGGGUUUCACCAUGUUGGCCAGGCUGGUCUUGAACUCUUGACCUCAAGUGAUUCGUCCGCCUCGGCCUCCCAAAGUGCUGGGAUUACAGGUGUGAGCCACUGUGCCCGGCCUUGUGUGUGUAUUUUUUGUGGAGACAGGGUCUUGCCAUGCUGCCCAGGUUGGUCUCAAACUCCUGGACUCAAGCCAUCCGCCCACCUCAGCCUCCCAAAGUGUUAGGAUUACAGGCGUGCGCCACCAUGCCUGGCAGCCCAGGUGCAAAUUUUAAGGGAAUGCCAAAAAACCCAGUCAUCAAGGUAAAUAACAUUUUUAUGCAAUAUGUUUUUAAAAUUAAAAUGAAUGCAAAACCCCAAAGAAUUAAAAACAGAUGUCUAUACAAAAACUUGUGCGUGAAUGCUCAUAGCAGCAUUAUUCACAAGAGCCAAAAAGUGGAAAAAACAUAAAUAUUCAUCACCUGAUGAAUAUAUAAACAAAAUAUGGCUUGACCAUGCAAUGGUAUAGACAUAUAUAUUUUUUUCUUUCUUUUUUUUUUUUUUUGAGAUGGGGGUCUCGCUCUGUUGCCCAGGCUGGAGUGCAGUGGUGCAAUCUUGGCUCACUGCAACCUCCGCCUCCCGGGUUCAAGCAAUUCUCCUGCCUGAGCCUCCCGAGUAUCUGGAACUACAGGUAUGUACCACCACGCCCAGCUAAUUUUUGUAUUUUUGGUAGAGAUGGGGUUUUACCAUGUUGGCCAGACUAGUCUCGAACUCCUGACCUUAGGUGAUGCCCUCGCCUUGGCCCCCCAAAGUGCUGGGAUUACAGGCAUGAGCCACCGCAUCCAGCCAAUGCAAUGGUAUAUUAUUUGGUCAUAUAAAGGAAUGGAGUUCCAGUACAUGCCACAACAUGCAUGAGCCUUGAAAACAUGAUGCUAAGUGAAAAAGUGGUCACUAAAGACUACAUAGUGUGUGAGUCCAUUUAUCUGAAAUGUCCAGAACAGGCAAAUCCAUAGAGACAGGAAGUGGAUUUGUGGUUGUCAGGGCCUGGGUGGGAGAAGGGAAUGGGGAGUGGCCACUCCAUGGUGCUGGGUUUCUUUAGGAUGAUAAAAAUGUUCUACAAUUGAUUGUGGUGAUAUCGGACAACUCUGUGACUUUAUUAAAACCCAAUGAAUUGCACAUUUUAAAAGGGCGAGUUUGAUGGUAUGUAAAUCAAUAAAAAUAUUGUUGUAGCUUUAUUGAGAUAUACUUACCAUACAAUUCACCCAUUUCAUGUGUGCAAUUCUGAUUUUUUUUUUCAUUUUUAUUUAUUUUUAUUUUUUGAGACAGGGUUUGGCUCUGUUGCCCAAGCUAGAGUGCAAUGGCAUGAUCUGGGCUCACUGCAACCUCCGCCUCCUGGGCUCAAAUCAUCCUUCUACCUCAGCCUCCCGAGUAGCUGGGACUACAGGUGUGCACCACUGCACCCAGCUAAUUUUUUUUUUUUUUUUUUUUGUAUUUUUGGUAGAGACGGAGUUUCACCAUGUUGCCCAGGCUGGUCUCAAACUCCUGGACUCAAGAGAUCCUCCCAUCUCAGCCCCACAAAGUGCUGGGAUUACAGGUGUGAGCCACCAUGCCCGGCCUCAAAAAAUAUUUUUUAACUAAUGUAAAAUAAUCUGUGCUGAACAAAAUAGCAAACAUCUAAAUACAGGCCCUGUGGCCAGGCACAGUGGCUCAUGCCUGUAAUCCCAGUACUUUGGGAGGCCGAGGUGGGUGGAUCACCUGAGGUCAGGAAUUUGAGACCAGCCUGGCUAACAUGAUGAAACCCCAUUUCUACUAAAAAUUUAAAAAGCUGGGCAUGGUGAUGCACGCAGGAGGCUGAGACAGGAGAAUCACUUGAACCCAGGAGGCGGAGGUUGCAGUGAGCCGAGAUCACGCCAUUGCACUCCAGUUUGGGCAACAAGAGCAAAACUCUGUCUCAAAAAAAAAAAAAAAAAAAAAAACAGGCCCUGCCCUCACCCACCAGCCACAUGUGGCUACCAAGCACUUGAAAGAUGGCUAAUGUCACUUCUUGAAAUGAUAAUUUUUAAAAAAUAUAUUGAGUUAAAUUUUUAAAUUAAGAAAAUUUUGGCCGGGCGUGGUGGCUAACGCCUGUAAUCCCAGCACUUUUGGGAGGCCAAGGUGGGUAGAUCACCUGAGGUCAGGAGUUCGAGACCACCCUGACCAAUAUGGUGAAACCCCAUCUGUAAUAAAAAUACAAAAAUUAACCUCAGGAGGCUGAGGCAGGAAAAUCACUUGAACCUGGGAGGCGGAGGUGGCAGUGAACCAAGAUCAUGCCACUGCACUCUGGCCUGGGUGAUACAGCAAGACACUGUCUCAAAAAAAAAAAAAAAAAAAAAAAAGACAAUUUAAAAGUUAACAUUUAGGCCGGGCGCGGUGGCUCACGCCUGUAAUCUCAGCACUUUGGGAGGCCGAGGUGGGCGGAUCACAAGGUCAGGAGAUUGAGACCAUCCUGCCUAACAUGGUGAAACCCCGUCUCUACUAAAAAUACAAGAAAUUAGCCUGGCGUGGUGGCGGGCGCCUGUAGUCCCAGCUACUUAGGAGGCUGAGGCAGGAGAAUGGCGUGAACCCAGGAUGCGGAGCUUGCAGUGAGCCGAGAUCGCGCCACUGUACUCCAGCCUGGGCGACAGAGCGAGACUCCCUCUCAAAAAAAAAAAAAAAAAAAAAAAGUUAACAUUUAGAAUAAUUUUAAAUUAGAUUUAAUUAAAAUAUUAUUUAUAUAUUAUACAAAUAUAAUGUUAUAUUUAGUUUAAAAUAAUUUGGUUUAAAUUAAAAUUUUAUUUAUAAAAAUAACUUUUUAUUUUAAAAAUUAAAGAAAAUAACUUCACCUGUUCCAUUUUACUUUUUAUUUUUUUAAGAGCCAGAUUCUUACUCUGUCACCCAGGCUGGCAUGAUCAUAGCUCACUUCAGCCUAGAACUCCUGGCUUCAAGCAAUCCUCCCACCUCAGCAUCCCAAGUAGCUGGAACUACAGGUACGCACCAUCAUGCCCAGCUUCAUUUAUAUAUUUAUCUUUUUUGUUUGUUUUUUGAGACAGGGUCUCCUUCUGUCGCCCGAGCUGGAGUGCAGUGGCACAAUCUUGGCAAACUGCAACCUAUGCUUCUGGGGCUCCCGUGAUCCUCCCACCUCAGCCUCUCCAAUAGCUGGGACUACAAGCGUGUGCCACCAUGCCUCGCUAAUUUUUGUAUUUUUUAGUAGAGACAAGAGUUUGCCACAUUGCCCAGGCUGGUCUCAAACUCCUGAGCCCAAGCCAUCUGCCCACCUCGUCCUCCCAAGGUGCUGGGAUUACAGGGGUGAGCCACUGCACCCUGCCUAUUUAUUUACUUUUCUUAGAGAUGGGGGUCUUGCUUUGUUGCCCAGGCUGGUCUCGAACUCCUGGGCUCAAGCAAUCCUCUCACCUCAGCCUCCCAAAGUGUUGGGAUUACAGGCAUGAGCCAUCUCACCUGGCCAGUAAUGUAUUUCACUCCAAGAACAACUCAUGAAUUAGGAACUGUUAUAAUCCCCCUUCUGCAGGGGAGGAAAGAGAGGCUCAGAGAGGUUAAAUGACUGCUCAGAGUCCCUCAGAGCUGGGCUUUAAGUCCACCUGAGGCAGGCGGACGGGCUGUGCAGGACAAGUUGGCAGCCCCCGCCUUAAGGAGAGUGGUACCCUCUUUCCUCCAGUGCAUUUAUGUUUUAUUUUUAUUUUUGAGACAGAGCCUCACUUUGUCACCCAGGCUGGAGUACAGUGGUGCGAUCUCAGCUCACUGUAACCUCUGCCUCCUGGGUUCGAGCAAUCCUCCUACCUUAGCCUCCUGAGUAGCUGGGACUACAGGCACACACCACCAUGCCUGGCUAAUUUUUGUAUUUUUGGUAGAGACAGGGUUUCACCAUGUUUGCCAGGCUGGUCUCAAACUCCUGGCCUCAAAAGAUCCACCCACCUCGGCCUCCCAAACUGUUGGGAUUAUAGGCGUGAGCCACCGUGCCCGGCCAAGUGCAUUUUUUUGUAAACCCCCGUGCAAGUUGCUUUGAGGUUGAGCAGCUUACUGCUGGGGACAGCAUUCUCAAGUCCAGGCUAAACAGGGAAGAUGCUGUGUGCUGUCCCUUUGUGGCUUUGAGGUUCUCCUGCUUAUUCUCUUUGCUGCCUGCAGCUGCCUCUUGGUGACUUUCCCUUUCCAGGGAGCCAGAGGAACCAAGGAGUGUUGGCCCUGACUCCUGCCCCCAGCAUGUAAACUCAUUAACUGCUGGGUCCUCAGGCAGUUAGGUGGCUGAGCAUUUGAGUCUGGGACGGCAGGUGGAUUUGGUUGGAGAGGGAAUGACAGAGAUUGGGGAGGAGCCUCCAGAGUCUAAAGAGAUAGGUACACAAGCAGAAAGUUCCAGCCCCCAGCCUGCCUUUCCCCCAUGCUCAGGGGACAAAGCUGAAUUAACUCGAGGUCAGGAAUGGCAUUUGCAUUUGCAUUCUUGAGAGUCACUGCAAAUAAGAGCUGUAGUCAUGGUGAGUGGUUAAGGCAAUGGACUAGAGAACCACUGAGAAAAAAAGCGAACAGUGGCUGGGCGCAGUGGCUCAUGCCUGUCAUCCCAGCACUUUGGGAGACCGAAGUGGGUGGAUCACUUGAGGUCAGGAGUUCGAGACCAGCCUGGCCAACAUGGUGAAAACCCGUCUCUACUAAAAAUACAAAAAUUAGCCAGGCUUGUCAGUGGGCACCUAUAAUCCCAGCUAGUCGGAAGGCUGAGGCAGGAGAAUCACUUGAACCCAGAAGGCAGAGGUUGCAGUGAGCUGAGAUCAUGACACUGCACUCCAGCCUGGGUGACAGAGAGAAACUCCGUCUCAAAAAAAAAAGAAAAAGAAAAAAAAAAAAAGGAACAGCCGGACAUGGUAGCUCAUACCUGUAAUCCCAGCGCUUUGGGAGACCGAGGCAGGUGGAUCACCUGAGGUCAGGAGUUCCAGAUCAGCCUGGCCAACAUGGUAAAACCCCAUCUCUACUAAAAAUACAAAAAUUAGCUGGAUGUGGUGGCGCACACCUGUAGUCCCAGAUACUCAGGAGGCUGAGGCAGGAGAAUAGCUUGAACCCGGGAGGCGGAGGUUGCAGUGAGCAGAGAUCACGCCACUGCACUCCAGCCUGGGCGAUAGAGUAACAAUCCGUCUCAAAAAAAUCUGAAAAUUAAAAAUUAAAAAGUGAACAGUUGUUUAGUAAGUGCAGUAGGUAGGCCAAGAUAACUAUUAAGUAUGUCCUAACAAGGUAGCUGCUUGAAAAAAAUAAUGCACAUAAAUUAAAAAAAAAAAAACUAUUUUCACUCAUUCUUAACUUCUCGUAUGGAUGUACUAACGGGAGGCCUGUGCCUGUUGGGCUGUCCACAGCUACUCAAACCUUGAGAUUAGAUUGGACGCUAUCUAAUCUCAUUUCCUGUUACACAAUAACUUCUGCAUGGCACUUGCUUUUAAUCAUGACAACUGCCAUACACUCAGCUUUACAAAAUCAUGUCAUUGUGGAAAGGAAGUUCCCUCCAUCUAACAUUCAAAUUUAACUAUCCUGAGCUGGUAGUUUGCAAGGUGUCCAACAGAUGUCACUGUGUUUCCUUCGCAAAUUCUCUAAAAUAGUCUGCUGUGUCCCGGGGCAUAGUAGAUAUUCAAGAAAUGGUGGCUAUGAGUUUUAUCACAAUUCUCUCCUACUGGGUGAGCAGCUGUUUGCAAGACUAAAAUUCGGGCGAGGCACAGGCUUCCCCUUGGUCUUAGCAGCUAGCACAAGACGAGUGUCCCUUCAGCCAGUCUCAGAGCUCUUUGGCAAUUCAACUGACCCUUGUCCUUCAGUCCAGACAAUGCCCCAGGGCCCACCUGCAUUCAAACUCGGACUGUUCUCCUUCCCACCCCUAUUAUCUUUUCAACUUUAUGGACAGUACAUGCAAUUUUCUCAUUCAUUUUCUCAUUUAACAUCUAACAGCUUCAUGAUAUCCCCAUUUUACAGAUAAGGAAACCAAGGCUUUAAGAGGAUAGGGACCCUAAUCGGCUAAGGCAGAAUUAGGAUUUGAACCCAGAUCCCCAUGACGCCAGAAUCUAAGCCUUGACCAAAUAUGUGUUACUAUUACUUUUGUUGUUGUUGUUGUUCUGGGUAACUCCAACCCUCUGCUCGUUGGCCUUGUCACCUCAGUGCUGAUUUUGCAGAUGAAGAGACUAAGGUUCCGAGGUGCUAGAGCACAGUGGUUAGGAACACACACUCUAGAGCCAGAGUGCCUGGGUUUGAGCCUCGUUCUGCCGUUUACUAGCCGUAUGGCCUUGGGCAACUUGCUUAACUUCUCUUUGCCUCAGUUCCUCUUCUCUUGGGUUGUUAGGAGAAUGAAUGAGGUGAUAUCCACAGUGUCCAACACCCUGCAAGCGGCCAGGUGUGGUGGAUCACACCUGCAAUCCCAGCACUUUGGGAGGCCGAGGCAGGUGGAUCAUUUGAGGUCAGGAGUUCGAGACCAGUCUGGCCAACAUGGCGAAACCUCAUUUCUACUAAAAAUACAAAAAUUAGCCGGGCGUGGUGGCAAACAACUGUAAUCCGAGCUACUAGGGAGGCUGAGGCAGAAGAAUCGCUUGAACCCAGGAGACAGAGGUUGCAGUGAGCCAAGAUUGCACCACUGCACUCCAGCCUGGGCGACAGAGUGAGACCCUGCCUCAAAAACUAAAAAUAAAAAAUGAACAGUGUCCAACACCUUGAAAGCAUUCCGCAUGACUGAACGAUCACUGUUACGUGAUUACCAACAUGACGACCCCACUUCUCUUGGCCAAACUGAGUUCUCUUCUCUUGUAAAAACUUCUGCAUAUGAAGUCACCCAUUCCAUUUGACUCUUUAGCCCUCAUCCUGGCAUUCAAGGGCAUGGACGACUCAACCCCACUCUCUAGCCAGCCUGACCUCUCCAUUCCCUUCUCUGGCGUAGAGGCCACUCCCACCACCUGCCCUUACCCCCUGCCCACUUUUGUCAGCCUGUACUGUGUUGAAGCUCCCAGGAGAGACAACUGCAGUCAUCACUUUCCACUGUGUUCAGUGAUGUCAGUUCGGCCCAGCUGGAGGUACUCACAUCAUGGAAACAGACCAUCAGAUUUGGUGUGUGUGUGUUUUAUUUUGCUUUUUCAGAGAGCCAGCUGUUAAACACUAGCCAACACCCCAUUGAUGCUGUUCCUUCUACCUGAAACACCUCGCAUUGCCGGUGAGCUCUAAAGACAAAAGGACCUGGGUCUGCAUUUCCCAAAGGCAAGACUCUGGUAUCACCUGCAUAUUAUUUUCCCAUAUUUGAGCACCACUGCCUUUUGCAUUAUUUACUUAGCAGUUUUGCUCCUGUCAACUCACUUUUUUAAAACUAAACUUAUUUUAAAAAGAAAAGUUUUGGCCGGGAGCGGUGGCUCAUGCCUGUAAUCCCAGCACUUUGGGAGGCCGAGGUGGGCAGAUCACCUGAGGUCGGGAGUUCGAGACCAGCCUGACCAACAUGGAGAAACUCCGUCUCUACUAAAAAUACAAAAUUAGCUGGGCGUGGUGGCGCAUGCCUGUAAUCCUAGCUACUCGGGAGGCUGUGGCAGGAGAAUUGCUUGAACCCAGGAGGCGGGGGUUGCAGUGAGUCGAGAUCGCCCCAUUGUACUCCAGCCUGGGGAACAAGAACGAAACUCCGUCUCAAAAAAAAAAAAAAAAAAGAAAAAGAAAAGAAAAGCUUUAUAUAAUUUUAAUACUCAAAAAAACAGUAUCCCGGCCAGGCACAGUGGCUCACACCUGUAAUCCCAGCAAUUUGGGAGGCCAGGCAGGAGGAUCACUUGAGGCUAGGGGUUCAAGACCACUUGAGGCUAGGGCCAACAUGGUGAGACCCCGUCUCUACUAAAAAUACAAAAAUUAGCCAGGCAUAGUGGCACGUGCCUGUAAUCCCAACUACUCGGGUGGCUGAGGAACAAAAAUCACCUGAAUCCAGGAGGCGGAGGUUGCUGCGAGCCGAGAUCGUGCCACUGCACUUCAGCCUGGGUGACGGAGUGAGACUCUGUCUCAAAAAAAGAAAAAGAAAAAGAGUAUCCCUUGCCAUAAAUAGCAAGCAGUCAUUCAGACAUGGAAAUGAGGCAUUCACACUUGUUCUUGUUUCACACUAAGGCCCUAAGCCUAAGGAGGGUUUCUCUAUGUUGAAAGGAAAUUAGGCAGUGUUCAGAGGGGUGUUAAAGAUAGACUAGCAACUAAUUGAAACUUUCUCCUCAAUGUAAGCACUUUAGAAGGGACUGAAAAGAGAAUGUUCUCCCUACAUGUACCAUAUCACCUACAAUUACCUCGUGUACCACUAUUUUGCAAAUAAAUGCCAGAGGCAAGAGUACAUUUUGAUGCUUUAGCCUAGCACUCAAAGCCCUCCUCGAUUUGAAUCUUUCCAGCCUCAUCUUGCACAGCCCCUCCAUACCCAGACCUCACCCACUCUAUUUGCCAUCUCCAGAACAUACCCCUAACUUUCUCACCUCUGUGCCUUUGUGCAAGCUGCUCCCUCUACCUGGAAACCUCCAUUUGUCAAGCUGCUGCUGUCUUCAAGAUCUACCUGGUCAGAAUCUCCUGCUGUCCUCUUCUGCCACCCACAGCAAUGUGAGCCUUCACUGGCUGGCCUUCCCUACUCACUGGAGCAGAGCUACGGCAUCAGAAUGCCCUGGAGCAGGGGUUAGAAACACAGAUUUCUGAGUCUACACUCGAAGAUUUUUUUUUCUUUCUUUCUUUUUUUUUGUUUUCCAAUUUUUCUAAUUUUAGAGAUGGGGUCUCACCACGUUGCCCAGGCUGGUCUCAAGCUCCUGGACUCAGGUCAUCCUACCACCUAGGCCUUCUAAAGUGUUAGGAUGAGCCCUGAACCUUGUAACAUGAACAUUUAUUAGUUAUAUCUGGAAAAAAAUAUAAAGUUAUUUUUAUUUGGGUGAUACUGCCUUCAAAAAACAAAAACAAAAAAAAACAGGAGGCCGAGCACAGUGGCUCAUGCCUGUAAUCCCAGUGCUUUGGGAGGCUGAGGCAGGCGGAUCACUUGAGACCAGGAGUUCAAGACCAGCCUGGCCAACAUAGUGAAACCCCGCUUCUAUUAAAAAUACAAAAAUGGGCCAGGCACGGUGGCUCAUACCUGUAAUCCCAGCACUUUGGGAGGCCGAGGCGAGUGAAUCACGAGGUCAAGAGAUCAAGACCAUCCUGGUAAACAUGGAGAAACCCUGUCUCUACUAAAAAUACAAAAAUUAGCUGGGCACGGUGUCACGUGCCUGUAGUCCCAGCUACUAGAGAAGCUGAGUCAGCGGAAUCGCUUGAACCCAGGAGGUAGAGGUUGCAGUGAGCUGAGAUUGCACCACUGCACUCCAGCCUGGGCGACAGAGUGAGACUCUGUCUCAAAAAAAAAAAAAAAAAAAUUAGCCAAGUGUGGUGGCACAUGCCUGUAAUCCCAAUUACUCGGGAGGCUGAGGCAGAAGAAUUGCUUGAACCUGGGAGGUGGAGGUUUCAGUGAGCCAAGAUCGCACCACUGCCCUCCAGCCUGGGCAAUAGAGCAAGACUCCAUCUCACAAAAUAAAAAGCCAAAAAAAGCUCUCGACAGUUCUGUUCCCCGCCUGAGGUGUUUGUCUCAGGAUCCCGGCCUGGCUGUGGGCCACAGAUGGCAAAAACCAAGGUCCGUCUAUUACUGGGCAUCCAGGGUUUCAUAAUCUCUACGACCUCCAUGCCUGGAACUCCACACAUUGCGCAUGCCCCAGAAACGCUUGCCCAACGGACCCCAAUCCACCAUUUCUGAAUGCAUUUUUCAUGACUUGCUGAAUGUGUCUUGUUAAUCCAAUUAGAUUGUAAACUCCGGGAGUGCAGGGACAACGUUGACCUUCCUAUUACUCCCCUCACCCCCGCCCAGCUCUGGGCUGGGCACACAGUGACCCUCAAGGGUAGCACAAAGACUUGAGGCAAGAAAAACACCUGUAGAAGGAAAAGGCUGGAUACUGGGAGCGCCUCUGUCUGCUUUGCUGCCAUCCUCUUCUUCAACAACAAAGGACACGCUAAUUCUAUGCAGCAAAAGUUUCCAAACACGUUAGCCUAAGAAUUUCGAGUCAUGCAAAAAAUAAAUUCCCAGAGUCACAGGGUUAAAAAAAAUCAGAUUCCAGGGCCCCAUCCUUGUUGUUCCUGAGUCAGACUCCCCAGUCAAACUGCCAGAGAACCUCGUCUUUGAACAAACACUUCAGGCAACUUUCCCAGGAUAAAGCAAGUUUCAGAAACUCUCACACAGCUUCUUAGGUAUCUCAGAUAUGGCUCUUGCCCUCCAGAUGUUUACAAAUGAAAACAAGAAAUCUGGUUCCAACAAGCAAAAGCCCAGAGAGACCUCAAACACAAAGAUGCAAAUCAAAAUUAGUAGAGAAAUAAAUGAGCCGGGACGUUGUACUUCGGUCGCGGGGCUGGCUGAGGUCACUACCUGCACAGCCGACUGUUGGAAGUUCUGCGGUAUACCAGCUGAAUGGCCUUGAACAAGUCCCAUCUCCACUCGGAGCCUCCGUUUCCGCAUCUGUAGAAUGGGGAUAUGUGGGCCUAACUCACAGCGUUGUGAGAAUUCAACAAGAACACAUCAAGCAGCUGUGAAUGUAGCAAGCCGGCAUUUGAUUAAAUGUUAGUUUUCGUCCUAAGAAAAAUAGCUAAUAUUUCUGAGCACUUACGGCCGAGCCCUGAGCUAACAUUUACUUCCUCCUUUAACUCCCACAACAACCCAAUGAGGUAGGAUCUAUUAUUAUCCCCAUUUCACAGAUGCGGAAAUUAAGACACAGAAAGGUUAAAAAAAAAACACGCACAGGCCAGGCGUGGUGGAUCACCCCCUGUAAUCUCAGCACUUUGGGAGGUGGAGCCUGGAGGAUCGCUUGAGGCCAGGAGUUUGAGACUAGCCUGGGCAACAUAGCAAGACCCUGUCUCUAUAAAAAAAAAUUUAAAGCUGAGUGCAGUGGCUCACGCCUGUAACCCCAACACUUUGAGAGGCUGAGGCAGGUGAACUCUUGAGCCCAGGAAUUCAAGACCAAACUGGGCAGCAUAGUGAGACCCUGUCUCUUAAAAAAAAAAAAAUCAGCUGGGCGUGGUGGUGCAUGCCUGUGAUCCCAACUACUCGGGAGGCUGAGGUGGGAGGAUCGCUUGAGCCCAGGAGUUUGAGGUCUCAGUGAGCUAUGAUUGUGCCAUUGCGCUCCAGCCUGCACAACAGAGAAAGGUCUGUCUUAAAAAAAAAAAAAAAAAGAAAAGAAAGAAAAGAAAAAAGAACCCAACGUCUCCCAACCAGGAAAUGGCAGAGCUGGGAUUAGAGCCUAGAAAACCUAUCCUGUAGCCCCAGGAGGAAAUAGCCUCACGGGAGCAAAACCACCAGGUGUUUAGGACUCAUGAAAAUUAUACAUUGGCUUCUUUGGGAAAAGUGGCCCAUUCAGCUGAGCAGGACCCAAAAUAGCAAAAGGGCCAAGGACAGCCCGCCUGCCCUAGGUGUGGCCCCAGCCAGGAUUCCUAGCCCUGCGAGUUUUCCCAGAUUGGCCAACACACGUCUGAACCCCUGGGAUCAGGAAGUGCCAAUGCCUGGGUCUUGCUAAAGCCAUUUACCGUCGACAGAUAUCCCACCGAUGGCCAAGUGCCAGUUAGUCACGGCCUCAGUGCAGCACCUCAUCCCUCCCAGAAAGCCAUGGCUCUGGACUCCACCCACUGAAAACAGGGCUUUUGUGGGAAUACAAUGGGACAAGAAGAAAAACAUGCUGAACCUGAUCUCCAUGGGACCUGAUGUGGAGUCACGUUCAUUCACAUCACUGGCUUGCAGCCUCUCCACUCACAAGUUAUUGAUAAUCGAAAAAAUAAAACACCAUGCGAUCGUAUUUCUGGGCAGAUAGAAUGCAAGAGCCUGGGGCACUGGUUGUUUCUGGGGAGGGGAAGGGAACCGAGAGACCCAAGAAGAGGGUGGACAAGCUAGGCACGGUGGCUCACCCCUGUAAUCCCAGCAUUUUGGGAGGCCAAGGCAGGCAGACACUUGAGGUCAGGAGUUCGAGAUCACCCUGGCCAACAUGGUGAAACCCUGUCUCUACUAAAAACAUAAAAAUUAGCCAGGCGUGGUGGCAGGUGCCUAUAAUCGCAGCCACUCAGGAGUCUGAGGCAGGGGAAUCACUUGAACCUGGAGGCAGAGAUUGCAGUAACCGGAGAUCGUGCCAUUGCAUUCCAUCCUGGGCGACAGAGCGAAACUCCGUCUCAAAGAAAAAAAUAAAAGGACUAUGAGUGGGAGCAGAUGUAGGGAGAUGCAAGGGACGGAGUAUCAGGAGAACAGUACCUGUUCUGGGCUCUCCGCUAAUCAAACCCAACCACCAGGCAGAGGCAUGGGAGACCCCCACACACAGAGCAGGGUGGAGACAGGAGAAGCGAUCGCAGAAGAGGCCAGACCACCACCCAAUAGAUGUGGGUAACUAUUCAAAACUCAGAUCAUCUGAACAGAAAAAGGUAAAUGCUAUGAGCUAAAAACUUCAAGGUUCUUUGCAUCAGUGCCCUUUUUUUUUUUUCCUGAAGUUAUUUCAAGUUGGAUUUCUACCACUUGCAAACCAAAGAGUCUUGCCGAACAGAGACGGAAACAUGGAAGAUUUCAUUGAAGUGGAAACCUGGCAUUGUAAUUGCCCACUGCUUGUAAAAUUCAGGCCAGUGUGGUGGCUCACGCCUGUAAUCCCAACACUUCGGGAGGCUGAGGUGGGCAGAUCGCCUGAGCCCAGAAGUUCAAGACCAGCCUGGGCAACAUGGCAAGACCCUGUCUCUAUAAAAAAUUUUGGUUUAAAGCUAAGUGCAGUGGCUCACACCUGUAAUGCCAACUCUUUGGGAGGCUGAAGCAGGUUAAUUGCUUGAGCCCAGGAGGUCGAGACCAAACUGGGCAACAUAGUGAGACCCCAUCUCUAAAAAAAGAGAAGAAAAGAAAAUCAGCAGGGAGUGUUGGCACAUGCCAGUGGUCCCAGCUAUUCAGGAGGCCGAGGUGGAAGAAUCACCUGAACCCAGGAAGGUCAAGGCUGCAGCAAGCUGUGAUAGUGCCACUGCACUCCAGCCUGGACAACAGAGCAAGACCCUGUCUCAAAAUAAGUACAUAGGCUGGGCGAGGUGGCUCAUGCCUGUAAUCCUAGCACUUUGGGAGGUCGAGGCGGGCAGAUCAUUUGGGGUAAGGAGUUCGAGACCAGUUUGGCCAACACGGUGAAACCCCGUCUCUACUAAAAAUACAAAAAAAAUUAGCUGGGUGUGGUGGCACAUGCCUGUAAUCCCAGCUACUUGGGGAGGCUGAGGCAGAAGAAUUACUUGAACCUGGGAGACAGAGAUCGCGUCACUGCACUCCAGCCUGGUUGACAGUGCGAGACUCUCAAAAAAAAUUGGCCAGGCAUAGUGGCUCACGCCUGUAAUCCUAGCACUUUGGGAGGCCGAGGUGGGUGGAUCACCUGAGGUCAGGAGUUCGAGACCAGCCUGGCCAACGUGGCGAAACCCCGUCUCUACUAAAAAAUACAAAAAUUAGCUGGGCAUGGUGGCACAUGCCUGUAAUCCCAGCUACUUGCGAGGCUGAGGCUGGAGAAUCACUUGAACCUGGGAGGCAGAGGUUGCAGUGAGCUGAGAUCGCGCCACUGCACUACAGCCUGGGUGACAGAGUGAGACUCUGUCUCAAAAAAAAAAAAAAUCAAUUAAUUUAGCUUAAUUCAGCUGCUUCACCUUGGCCUACAAGGGGCUGGGCCACCCUGUCCAAUCCAUGAUCACCUUUUUCCACUGUCCACCUGCAGUGCACAGCAAGUCGCCUACAGCUCCUCCCAUACCCACAGCCCCUUCCUGCCUGGGACCUUCGCCCAUGCUGUUCCUCCUGCCUGAACCCCUCUCCUAGCUCUUCCUCCCAUCAGCACCUCAUUGUCAUCCCUUCCCUAUCCUGUGGUCUGAAUGUUUGUGUCCUCCCAAAGUUCAUAUGUGGAAUCCUAGCCCCCCAGGUGGUGGUAUUAAGAGGUGGGGACUUUGGGGGCAGGAUUAGUUCCCUUAUCAAAGAGGCCCAAGGGAGCUUGUUUGUCCCUUGCACCAGGUGAGGGCCCCGCAAGAAGGUGCCCUUGCUGGAGAUCCCAGACUCUAUGAGAAAUAUUGUUUAUAAGUAACCCAGUUUAUGUUUUUUUGGUUUUUUGGUUUUUUUUUUUCAAGGUGGAGUCUCGCUCUGUGGCCCAGGCAAUCUCGGCUCACUACAACCUCCGCCUCCCAGGUUCAGGCGAUUCUCCUUCCUCAGCCUUCUGAGUAGCUGGAAUUACAGGCACCCGCCACCAUACCCAUCUAAUUUUUGUAUUUUUAGUAGAGACGAGGUUUCACCAUGUUGGCCAGGCUGGUCUCGAACUCCUGGCCUCAAGCAAUCCUCCCGCCUCGGCCUCCCAAAGUGUUGGGAUUACAAGCAUGAGUCACCAUGCCUGGCCUAUGGUAUUUUUUUAUAGCAGCAGGAACAGACUAAGACAUCCUACUUCUCAGCUUAAACGUCACCUCUGCACAGAGCCCUUCGUGAUACAUCUGAACAGAUUCUUUUCUGUGACUCUCCAUCCCUGCACUGUAUUUGCUCUUUCAGGGUGCUUUUUCACAUUUGUGAGGGUGUAUGCAUCUCCUCUUCCAGGCUGUAAGCUUCAUAAAGUCUCUGUUUUGUUCAUAACUAGAACAAGCCCUAGCACCUAGCAGUGAGUGUUCAUUAAACAUAUGAAGAAUGAAUCAGCGAGUGAUUUCAUGUCUCAUCAUCUCUAAAAAGCCUGUUUGAUCACUUCCAGGACCAGGAAACUCCUGACAUUAUCAAGGAUGCCACUGCAAAGUGAAAUGUCAUAAACAUGUAGGAGUUGAUUCUUUCCAGAAGCUGGCAGUCCAGGACUAGUGUGGGGGCUCCACAGUGUCACCAGAGCUUUGACCUUCCUGCCCUACCAUCUUCAGUGGGUGGCUUCUGUACUCAGGGUUACCUCAUGGUCCAAGAUGGCUGCUGGACUCUAGCCAUUAUAUCCAAAUACCAGGUAGAAUAGAGGACAAAAGCAGUGAACCUCAAGGCUGAGGCUCCUGGAAGCCUCAUACACUUUUACCUACUACAGUCCAUGGAACAUAGUGUAGUCACGGGGCCACACCAAAAUGCAAGAGAGACUGGGAAAUGUCUUCAUUCCAGGCAGCACGAUCUGAAUCUGUUAUUAAGGAAAAAAAUAGGAAGAAUGGAUAUUGGGUAUGUAACUAGCUACAAAUGAUCAUGGCAUCUCCGUUUAUUGAGCACUUAUUAUGUGCUAGACACAGUCCUAAGUACUUAAUAAAUGUGGCCCGGUCAAACAAGAUUGCCCUCUGCCCCCAAGAUUGCCCUCUGCCCCUUCUGUAGCCAGGGACACACACACACACGCACGCACGCAUGUACAGGAGCCAGUUGGGCCUGGCCCCCUUCACUGCGGGUACUGACAUGCGAAGUCUUUGUCAUAUGACUCUGAGCAGGGAGGGAGCAGUGUCCUCUUAGCAUAAUAAGAUCAGGAUUCAUAACAUUAAAUCAAAGUGCUGUAACUCACAGGAAUAUCAGUUUCCUAUUCAGAAGAUAGAGGAGAAUGUUUUCAGAAGGAAAUUGAACUUUAUGGUUUGAAACACGUUUAAUUUUAAAUAUGUUGAGAGAAAACCAGCUACAGCCUGGCAUGGAAACUCCUGUUGUUCCAGCCAAUGCCUUGGAGAACCAGAGACCACGCCCCCUUCCUCCCUGCUGAGGAGUCAACGAACGAGACCAAAGUCCCCUGUUCUUCUCUGCAGUCAGCAGAAAUCAGAGAAGAACAUCUUUAGACAGUCAGCAGACUCAGGAACUGUGUACUCUAGGACUUUUUAAAAAUUUUUUUACUUUUAUUUUUUUGAGACGGAGUCUCGCUCUGUCGCCCUGGCUGGAGUGCAGUGGCGUGAUCUCAGCUCACUGCAACGUCCACCUCCCAGGUUCAAGCUAUUCUCCUGCCUCAGCCUCCCGAGUAGUUAGGAUUACAGGCGCCUGCCACCACACCCGGCUAAUUUUUGUAUUUUUAAUAAAGACAAGGUUUUGCCAUGUUGGCUAAGCUGUUCUCCAACUCCUGACCUCAGGUGAUCCACCUGUCCCAGCCUCCCAAAGUGCUGGGAUUACAGGCAUGAGCCACCGCACCCAGCCUGGGACUUUUUUAUUUUUACAGAGAUGGGUGAUGAUUCAUGGGACGUUGGAGAUGCCCCAAGACUGGAGAUAUGAUUUGGGGGAUCCUGAGGAUUGGUGACCUAGGCAAAACUUGGGGAGGCUGGAUCCUGGGUAUGGAGUAGCCAAUCUGAAUAAAGACCCCUGCGCCAAAGGUUGGCACAGAAAUAGUGGUCUUGCCAGCCUUCAGGGGAGGCCCACACCAGUCCUAGACUGCCUGCUUCUGGAAGGAAUCAACUCUUACAUGUUUAUGCCAUUUCACUUUGGGUUUUCUGUUCUAUACAGCUAAACCUAAUACUGGACUGAUACAUUAUUAUUAUUUUCAGAACCAACCAAAGCUGGAAUAACACUCUUGAUAAUGCCAGUUUCCUGGUCCUAGAAGUGAGCUAACAGGCUUUUCAGAGAUGACGAGAUGUGAAAUCCCUCACUGAUUCAUGCUUCAUGUGUUUAAUGAGCACCCACUAGGUGCUAAGCCUUGUUCUAGUCAGGAAUAAAACCGAUACUUCACGAGGUUUACAGCCUGGUGGAGGAGACGUGUAUCAGGCUAGUGCGUGUAGACCAAAGGCCAGAGGCGCCCACUCAAGCAUUUCCACCUACAUGAGAAUCCCAUAGUCUUUUUAGAAGAAUAGAAAUAGUAAGCCCUGAGUCACGACUGCAUUUGAAUGCCACCUUACCUGAAGUCUGAAUCAGGGAUAAUUUGAUUUCAGAAGAAUAAAAUGAGGCUCCUAACACCUGUCCCAAAUUGCAAGGAAAUGAGGGUAUUCUCUUUUUUUUUUUUUUUUCUGAGAUGGAGUCUCGCUCUAUCGCCCAGGCUGGAGUGCAGUGGCGCGAUCUCGGCUCACUGCAAGCUCCACCUCCCGGGUUCACGCCAUUCUCCUGCCUCAGCCUCCUGAGUAGCUGGGACUACAGGCGCCCGCCACCACGCCCAGCUAAUUUUUUGCAUUUUUAGUAGAGACGGGGUUUCACCGUGUUAGCCAGGAUGGUCUCGAUCUCCUGACCUCGUGAUCCGCCCGCCUCGGCCUCCCAAAGUGCUGGGAUUACAGGCGUGAGCCACCGCGCCCAGUUGAAAUGAGGGUAUUCUCUAAGAGGCAGAUGACAGAACCUACUGCAAUGAAUUUGUCAAGCUCAAGGCUAAGGACACAGUCCCUCCACAAGGCAGCCUUCACUUCAAAUGCCAGGUGCAACUGGGGAUUCCUGGGCCACCCUCACUUCUGACCGCUUGGCUGCAUUGAGGGUUCCCACUACCCCCUGUGGUUCAAUAAUUCACUAGAAUGACUCAUGGAACUCAGGAAAGUGCCCCGCCUCAUAACGACAGUUUUUAUGAUAGCAAACAGACACAGAUCAGAACCAGCCACAAGAAAGGACAUAGAGGGUGAGGUGCGGAAGGGGUUCAAGUGCAAAGCUCCUAGUUACCUUCUCUCCAGACAGUCACCUCCCCCCAGCUAUGAUGCGUGAUGACACUCAGAGAAUACUGCUAACCAGAGAAGCUCCUGAGGCUUUGGUGUCCAGCGUUUUUGGGGGUUUUGUUUUUGUUGUUGUUGUUUCUGAGAUGGAGUCUCGCUCUCGUCGCCCAGGCUGGAGUGCUGUUGCGUGAUCUCAGUUCACUGCAACCUCCACCUCCUGGGUUCAAGCGAUUCUCCCGCCUCAGCCUCCAGAGUACGAGUAGCUGGGAUUACAGGCAUGCACCAUGCCCAGCUGAUUUUGUAUUUUUAGUAGAGACAGGGUUUCACCAUGUUGGCCAGGCUGAUCUCAAACUCCUGACAUCUGGUGACCCGCCCCCCUCAGCCUCCUGAAGUGCUGGGAUUACAGGCAUGAGCCACUGCCAGCCAGUGUCCAGCGUUUUUUAGUGGGGCUUGAUCCCUUACUGCCAGUGUGGCUGACCUUUCAUCUCCAGUCUCUCCUGAGCUAACUCUUGUGUAUCCAGCUCAUCUGGAGGUUGGAACUGAUACAGGAUGUUCCAAAGCCUUCAUUACAGAUCACAUUGUUAGACUAUCUGGUGGCCAAAGGCCCCAGGCAAACACAGACACUUCCAUCAGACAGGACGUUAAGGGGCCUAGAGAUCACCUCCCAGCAACUGAAGGCAAAGAUAAUCCUCCUACUGUACAUCCUUUUUUUUUCUUUUUUUUUUUUUAAGAGACAGGGUUUCAUUCUGUCGCCCAGGCUGGAGUACAGUGACACACUCAUGGCUUGCUGCAGCCUCGACCUCCUGGGCUCAAGCAAUCCUCCUGUAGCUGGGACUACAGGUGUGCACCACCACACCCCGCCAACUAUACAUCCACCACCACCCUGUCCUCUCAGCCCCCAAAGUCAUGAGGCUUUGACUAGGUAUCAGGAUGUCUUCAAAUGAAAAUUAAUGAAAACAGCGGGCCCGGUGGCUCACACCUGUAAGCCCAGCACUUUGGGAGGCCGAGACAGGUGGAUCACCUGAGAUCGGGAGUUCAAGAACAGCCUGAUCAACAUGGAGAAACCCUGUCUCUGCUAAAAAUACAAAAAAAGUAGCUGGGCAUGAUGGCACAUGCCUGUAAUCCCAGCUACUUGGGAGGCUGAGGCAGGAGAAUUGCUUGAACCCGGGAGGUGGAGGUUGUGGUGAGCCGAGAUCAUGCCAUUGUACUCCAGCCUGGGCAACAAGAGUGAAACUUCGUCAAAAAAAAAAAAAAGAAAAAAAGAAAAGAAAAUUAAUAAAAACAAAAAUCCAAAGUUGGACACACACACAGAGAACACCUUAGGACAAUAGAGGUACACCGUGGAGUGCUGCAGCAGCAAGCCAAAGAUUGCCAAGGAUUACCAGAGACGUGAGACGUUGGAAAGGGCAAGAGUGGAAUCUCCCCUCUCCCCCAAGUUUGAGAGGGGGCCAAGCCUUACCGACACCUUAAUUUGAGGCCUCUAGUCUCUAGAAAUGCAAUGUGCAAGGCGGGGCGCGGUGGCUCACGCCUGUAAUCCCAGCACUUUGGGAGGCUGAGGCGGGCCUUAAGGUCAGGAGUUCAAGACCAGCCUGGCCAACAUGGUGAAACCCUGCCUCAAAAUGCAAAAAGUAGCCAGGCGUGGUGGCAUGUGCCUGUAAUCCUAGCUACUCAGGAGGCUGAGGCAGGAGAAUCACUUGAACCCAGGAGGCAGAGGUUGCAGUGAGCCGAGAUCACACCAGUGCACUCCAGCCUGGGCAACAGCGUGAGACUCCAUCUCAAAAAAAAAAAAAAGGGCCGGGUGCAGUGCUCACGCCUGUAAUCCCAGCACGUUGGGAGGCUGAGGUGGGAGGAUCACCUGAGGCCAGGAGUUCAAGACCAGCCUGGCCAAUAUGGUGAAACUCUGUCUCUACUAAAAAUUCCAAAAAAAUUUAGCAGGGUGUGGUGGCGCAUGCCUGUAAUCCCAGCUACUCGGGAGACUGAGACAGGAGAAUUGCUUGAACCCGGGAGGUGGAGGUUGCAAUGAGCUGAGAUGGCGCCACUGCACUCCAGCCUGGGAGACAGAGUGAGACUCCGUCUCAAAACAAAACAAAACAAAAAUGCGACGUGCAGUGAUGUGCUCCAGCUGGUGUGAUCCCCUUGGGGAUGUGGCAAUGGAUGGGCAUCCCCAGACUUGAUGAUCAUCCCUUUGUCUCUUACCAGCAAUCCCCAAACCAAUUCACAAGUUCUGUUUUGUUUUGGUUUGGUUUUUUGUUUGUUUUUUGAGACAGAGUCUCACUCUGUCGCCCGGGCAGGAGUGCAGUGACAUGAUCAUAUCUCACUGCAGCCUCAAACUCCCAGGCUCAAGUGAUCCUCCCACCUCAGCCUCCCUAGUAGCUGGGACUACAGGUGUGCACCACCAUGCCUGGCUAACUUUUUUCAUUUUUUGUAGAGAUGGGGGUCUCCCUAUGUUGCCCAGGCUGGUUUCGAACUCCUGGGCUCAAGUGAUCCUCCCAUCUCAGCCUCCCAAAGUGCUGGCAUUACAGGCGUGAGCCACCGUGCCCGGCCACAAGAUAUUUUUUAAGCAUGGAGGUUUCUGUGCAUUGGAUUCCCCUCUUUGAGCUUCACCAUAUAUAUUUGUCCAAGGGCAGGGAGAUCCGGUGUAAUCUGCUUACACAAUAUUCCUGGAGAAGUUCUUCUUUCAGUAAAUACUUGUACAUCUCUGCAGAGUGACAGCAGGUUCUCCAGCAAACACCUUGGGGAGCCCAACCCUUUCCUGGGAAUGCCCCUGUGUUAAUGGGAAUCAAAGCUGAGAGCAGGUGGGGAGAGUACAUUCUUGGCUUAUCAGCUUCCAACAGAAAGGGGAAAUAAAAACAGAUGCAAUCUUUUAUUGCAAAGGGAUGGGUGCCUCUAAGAUCAGAUAAAGCCCAUAUAGGAUUAUGCAGAAACUGGUGUAAAUUUGCAGGUCAUCAAGACUCAAUGUCCCCUCCCUCCCCACACUGUCCACCUCUGGACCAUUUUGCACUUUAUAUUUUCUGAGAAAGGAGGCAGAGGGGAAGAAGGGGUUCAAAGGUGUCAGCCUGGCUCCUGGUGACCAGCUCUGUUUAGCAGGAAGUUAGCUGGAACAACUGAUUGAGCCCUGGGAUAAUCUAUGCUGUCACUGUGGACACAGCGGAGCAGAGGGCACACACAGUGGAGGGCACACACAGCGGAGGACAGACACAGUGGAGGGCACACACAGUGGAGGGCACACACAGCGGAGGGCACACACAGUGGAGGGCACACACAGCGGAAGGCACACACAGUGGAGUUACCUCUGAUCCCCAUGCCCUACGGGGCUGCCACCUUCCUGCCAGGGUUUGGAUCAUCACAGUCAUUUGCAUCUUCACUCCACAGCGUGAGUGCACAUACACAUCUGUUUUAUUGCAUUUGGCCCUUAUAGGAAUGAGUGGGAUAUGGGGAAAUGAAAAGGCUGAGACUGCGAUAAAAAAUGUAGCUCUUAGGCCAGGUGCGGUGGCACAUGCCUGUAAUCCUAGCACUUUGGGAGGCCGAGGUGGACAGAUCACCUGAGUUCAGGAGUUUGAGACCAGCCUGGCGAACAUGGUGAAACCCCAUCUCUACUAAAAAUACAAAAAUUAGCCAGGCGUGGUGGUGGGUGCCUGUAGUCCCAGCUACUCAGGAGGCUGAGGCAGGAGAAUCCCUUGAACUCGGGGGUCAGAGGUUGCAGUGGGAUUGCACCGCUGCACUCCAGCCUGGGCGACAGAGUGAGACUCCAUCUCAAAACAAAACGAAUCGAAUCAAAUGUAGCUCUUGAAACAACCAAAACAAAGUUAAAGUUGUAAAGAGUGGAAAGUCCUUAGCAUUGAUCAGAAUUAAUCUUUGGCCAGGUGCAGUGGCUCACGCCUAUAAUCCCAGCACUUUGGGAGGCUAAGGUGGGAGGAUCAUUUGAGCCCAAUUUGAGACUAGCCCAGGCAACAUAGUGAGAUCUCAUUUCUACUGGAAAUGAAAAAAUUAGCCAGGCAUGGUGGCAUCUGCCUAUAAUCCUGGCUACUCAGGAGGCUGAAGUGGGAGGAUUGUUUGAGUUUGGGAGGUCGAGGCUGCAGUGAGCUAGGAUGGCACCACUGCACUCCAGCCUGGGCAACAGAGUGAGACCCUGUCUCAAAAAAAAAAAAGAAUUCUCAAUCUUCUCCCCGACCACAGCCUUCCUCAAGUAAGCUAAAAACAAACAUCCUCUACAUUGUUUGAGUCAAAUAUUGGCUUUAUCCUUGACACCUCACUUUCUUUCCUAUCCCAUAGUCAAUUGGUCUAGAAAUAAAAAUAAAAGUUUCCCCAGAAUUAAAAAAAAAAAAAAAUCCCAAAGUUGGGUGGGCUUGAUGGUAUAUGUUAUUAGGAGUCUAGGUUUUCUCAGUCUACAGCAUCAGCUUCUGUGAAGGCUGAUUCCCCUCAUGGUCACAAAGUGGCUGCCACCACUCACUCAGGCACCUUUGUCUCCUCUGGGGAGAAGGAGGAGCUGCUCACCCUCAUCAGCCCAGAGUAAGCCCCGCCUUGCAUCUCGUUGGUCCACUGGCUUAGGCCCAGUCAAUCACUGGCAAAUGGGGAUGGAAUUAGCAGCACUGACUAAGCUCAUUGGAUCUCAAAGUGUGGUCCCAGGGCCAGCAGCAUUGGCCUCACCUGGGAACUUGUUAGAACGGCACAUCCUCAAGCCUCACCUCAAACCUGCUGAAUCAGAAACUCGGGGUGGGGCCCAGUGAGCUGGAUUUGUUUCCCAAGCCCUCUAGGGAAUUCUAGUUUGUGCUCCCACUGAAGAACUUCUGCCUUGAUUAAAAGCUUUGUUAACCAUCCUCAAGGUCCAGGCCUGAUAGUGACUUUGGAGGAAGGUGGGUGAGAUGCUGUGAGUGUGGGAGGGGAAGAGUGGCCUCUUCAGUGGGUACCGCAGGUCACUCUGUGGGCGACGACAUCGCAGGGACAACGUGGACCCAGGAGUCCCCAUCUACAGUCCCUGGUCUGGCUGGAGACAGUGAGGGAAACCUCCUCUACGAUCCCCCAAAGGAAAGGCAGAAACCCACUGGGCAGAAAAGGAGAGCAUCUUCACACACCUUAUCCCAUUUUUGUCUCAUAGCUGUCCUUUAAAAGAGAUGUUAUUAAAUUCCCAUUUUAGGCUGGGGCAGUGGCUGACGCCUGUAACCCCAGUACUUUGGGAGGCUGAGGUGGGCGGAUCACUGAGGUCAGGAGUUCGAGACCAGCCUGGACAACAUGGUGAAACCCCAUCUCUACUCAAAAAAUACAAAAUUCCUAUCAGCCGGGCGUGAUGGUGCAUGCCUGUAAUCCCAGCUACUCGGGAGGCUGAGGCAGAAGAAUUGCUUGAACCUGGGAGGCGGCACCUGCAGUGAGCCGAGAUCGCGACACUGCACUCCAGCCUGGGCAACAUAGUGAGGUUCUGUCUCAAAAAUAAAUAAAAAUAAAUUCCCAUUUUAGCAAUGAGGAAACUGGGAUUCAGAGAAGUUGAGGGCCGAGUGUGGUGGCUGACGCCUGUAACCCCAGCACUUUGGGAGGCCGAGGUGGGCGGAUCACCUGAGGUCAGGAGUUCAAGACCAGCCUGGCCAACAUGGUGAAACCCAGUCUCUACUAGUAAUAAAAAUUAGCCGGGUGGGGUGGUGCGUGCCUGUACUCCCAGCUACUCGGGAGGCUGAGGCAGGAGAAUUGCUUGAACCCGAAAGGCGGAGGUUGCAGUGAGCCGAGAUUGUACCAUUGCACUCCAGCCUGGGAGACAGAGUGAGACUCCAUCUCAAAAAAAAAAAAAAAAAAAAAAAAAAGAGAGAAGUCAAGGCUACAUGGUUAUCCACCGACAUGGGGUCCUAAUGUCUAUGUCAUAUAUGUCAGAUGAGAUGUCCAGUCUCUCUGCCAGUGACGUGCCAAGGGCGGGGCAGUGGGGCACUUUGCAUCAGAGCGGGGCAUUUAGUGUACACAAUGUGAAAGCCAGAAUGAAACCAACUAGGCGGGGUGAGGUGGCUCAUAGCUGUAAUCCCAAUACUUUGGGAGGGGUGGGAAGAUCGCUUGAGUCCAGGAGUUCAAAACCAGCCCAGGCACCACAGCAAGACCUCAUCGCUACAAAAAAAAAAAAAAAAAAAAAAAAAAAAAAAAAGCUAGUUGCAGCGGCAUGAGCCUGUAGUCCCAGCUACUUGGGAGGCUGAGGCAGGAGAAUCUCUUGAGCCCAGGAGUUUGAGGAUACAGUGAGCUAUGAUCACACCACUGCACUCUAGCCUGGGCAACAGCAAGCCUCCAUCCAAAAAAGAAAAAAAAAAAAAGAAGAAGAAAAUCAGCUAAAAGUCAGUGUGCUUUUUAUUCUCACUAUGCUAUUGCAAUUCUAAACUAUAUCAGUGAUAAAAUACUCUUCCUCAAGUUGAUAUAACUUCUAAAUAUUUACCAUAAUUACUGCUGAGUUUUAGUAAUAUAAAUAACAUAAUCCUAUAACUACAAUAUAAAUAAAAUACAAAAUAUAACACAAAUAAUAUAAAUUUAAAAAUAGCUUUUUUUUUUCUUUGAGGUGGAGUCUUGCUCUGUCACCCAGGCUGCAGUGCAGUGGCGCAAUCUCGGCUGUCUGCAACCUCCACCUCCCAGGUUCAAGUGAUUCUCCUGCCUCGGCCUCCCGAGUAGCUGGGAUUACAGGCACCUGCCACCACACCCAGCUGAUUUUUGUAUUUUUAGCAGUGAUGGGGUUUCACCAUAUUGGCCAGGCUGGUCUUGAACUCCUGACCUCAGGUGAUUCACCCGCCUCCGCCUCCCAAAGUGCUGGGAUUACAGGCAUGAGCCACCGCACCCGGCCAAAAUAGCUUUUUUUUUUUUUUUUUUUUUGAGACGGAGUCUCACUCUGUCACCCAGGCUGGAGUGCAGUGGCACAAUCUCGGCUCACUGCAACCUCCAUCUCCCAGAUUCAAGCGAUUCUCCUGCCUCAGCCUCCUGAGUAGCCGGGACUACAGGCAUGUGCCAGUGCGCCAGGGUAAUUUUUUUAUUUUUACUAAAGACGGCAUUUCGCCAUGGUCGUCAGGCUGGUCUCGAACUCCUGACCUCAAGUGAUCCACCCGUCUCAGCCUCCCAAAGUGUUGGGAUUACAGGCGUGAGCCACCGGACUCGGCUAAUAACUUAUGUUUUAAUAAACAUUGUCAUACACAUGAAAGUUAAUUCAGAGAAUUCCCACUUCUGCAGCUCGUCCCUGGCACAUUGUGGAUUCAGUUAUAGCCAUGAUGGUUUGAAGGAAGUUUAUAAUAAUGCAUAAUCACUGGGCAUAGUUUAUAACUACAACCCCAAAGGUGCUACGUAUUCCUGCAUUUAAACCAUAGAUUUUUAAAAAAUUAUAGUGCAAUGAUUGUAAAGACAAAAAAAACAGAACUUGGUCUAUUUCAAUUUGUCACUCUAGGGGUACAUUUGGAGUUUUUAUUUGUGUUUAAAAUAUAAAACAGUGAGAGUAUGAACAGCAGGGUGUAAUUUUUUUUUUUUUUUUUUUUUUUUUGAGACAGAGUUUUGCUCUUGUUGCCCAGGCUGGAGUGCAAUGGCACGAUCUCAGCUCACUGCAACCUCCACCUCCCAAGUUCAAGCGAUUCUCCUGCUUCAGCCUCCCGAGUAGCUAGGAUUACAGGCAUGCACCACCAUGUCCAGCUAAUUUUUGUAGUUUUAGUUGAGACAGGGUUUCUCCAUGUUGGUCAGGCUGGUCUCGAACUCCUGACCUCGGGUGAUCUGCCCGCCUUGGCCUCCCAAAGUGCUGGGAUUAUAGGCGUGAGCCACUGCGCCCGGCCAGCAGGGUGUAAUACUUUUGUUUAGUAAAGUUCACGUGUGAAAUAGUUUACUGAAUUUAAAUAAUACCUUUAAAAUUGAAAUGUAUUCUUCUUUCCUAAUUGUUAAUUGUUUUGAAAUGAAGGAAUGAAUUAAGAAAAUGAUGAUCAUUGAUGAUUACAUGAUUGAUACUGAAAAUAUUUUUGUCAUUUAUAGGAAGGGAGGGUUUAAAAAUGAUGUGCUCGGGGUCAAAUACAGUCCUUGAAAUAAAUAUCUGAGGACAGGCAUGGCGCAGUGGCUCAUGCCUGUAAUCCCAGCACUUUGGGAGGCCGAGGCGGGUGGAUCACGAGGUCAGGAGAUUGAGGCCAUCCUGGUUAACACGGUGAAACCCCGUCUCUACUAAAAAUACAAAAAAAAAUUAGCCGGACGUGGUGGCGGGCGCCUGUAGUCCCAGCUACUCGGGAGGCUGAGGCAGGAGAAUGGCGUGAACCCAGGAGGCGGAGCUUGCGGUGAGCUGAGAUUGCGCCACUGCACUCCAGCCUGGGCGACAGAGCGAGACUCUGUCUCAAUAAAUAAAUAAAUAAAUAACUGAGGACGAUUUUCACACCCUGCUGGGAGUUCUGUCUUCCUAACUACAGGGCCCUAAUUCCUCUACCCAUUCCUCAGCUGACACAUUUCAGACAACCUGCAUACCUGCCCUGGUUACCUCUAGAGCCUGGUGGGGAUCUUCUAAGAAGUGAGCACAAGUUUUAGAACCAGAGGGCCUGUAUUCAAAUGUUGGAUUUGGCCGCGUGACCUUGGGCAACUCAUUUUCCCUCUGAGCCUGUUUCCUCAUGACUACAAUUUGGUGAAGGAUCUUUAUAAUCUCAGGGUUAAUAUGAGGAUUAGAUUGGCUAAUUUUUUUUUAUCGUCUAGGUGUGAUUAUUUAUGCUCUUUCCUUCCACACCUUCUAAGGGAAGACAAUUCUUGCCUAGUCAGCUCCAUAUCUCCCCUUUAUCAGGCAGAAUCCCAGCAAUAGGCUGUGUCUUGAGACAAAAGUUGUCAGAUAAUUUGAGACCUGGGCAUACCACUUCCUCUCUGCAUACUAUUGUGAGAGAAGAAGAAAUGUUUUAAAGAAGUCUUACUCUGCACUGAAAAUGUACAUGCUACAAAACCACACCUAUUAGAAUGGCUAAAAUUAAAAGGACUGACAAUAACAAGUGCUGACAAGGAUGUGUGGCAGCUGGAACACCUAUACAUUGCUGUUUGAAGUAUAAAGUGGAGGGCCAGGCACGGUGGCUCAAGCCUGUAAUCCCAAUGAGAGGUGACAGCGUGCUGGCAGCCCUCACAGCCCUCCCUCGCUCUCGGCGCCUCCUCUGCCUGGGCUCCCACUUUGGCCACACUUGAGGAGCCCUUCAGCCCGCCGCUGCACUGUGGGAGCCCCUUUCUGGGCUGGCCAAGGCUGGAGCCAGCUCCCUCAGCUUGCAGGGAGGUGUGGAGGGAGAGGCGGGAGCGGCAACUGGGGCUGUGCGGGUUGGCACUUGUGGGCCAGCUGGAGUUCCGGGUGGGCGUGGGCUUGGCGGGCCCCACACUCGGAGCAGCCGGCCGGCCCUGCCACCCCGGGCAAUGAGGGGCUUAGCACCCGGGCCAGCAGCUGCGGAGGGUGUACUGGGUCCCCCAGCAGUGCCGGGCCACGGGCGCUGUGCUCUAUUUCUCGCCGGGCCUUAGCUGCCUUCCUGCGGGGUAGAGCUUGGGACCUGCAGCCCGCCAUGCCUGAGCCCCCACCCGCACCCCCCUCCACCGCCUCCGUGGGCUCCUGUGCAGUCGGAGCCUCCCCGAUGACCACCGCCCCCUGCUCCACGGCGCCCAGUCCCAUCGACCACCCAAGGGCUGAGGAGUGUGGGCGCACGGCGGGGGACUGGCAGGUGGCUCCACCUGCAGCCCCAGUGGGAGAUCCACUGGGUGAAGCCACCUGGGCUCCUGACUCUGGUGGGGACUUGGAGAACCUUUAUGUCUAGCUAAGGGAUUGUAAAUACACCAAUAGGCACUCUGUAUCUAGCUCAAGGUUUGUAAACACACCAAUCAGCACCCUGUGUCUAGCUCAGGGUUUGUAAAUACACCAAUCGGCACUCUGUAUCUAGCUACUCUGGUGGGGACUUGGAGAACCUUUGUGUCCACACUCUGUAUCUAGCUAAUCUAGUGGGGAAGUGGAGAACCUUUGUGUCUAGCUCAGGGAUUGUAAACGCACCAAUCAGCACCCUGUCAAAACAGACCACUCGGUUCUCUGUAAAAUGGACCAAUCAGCAGGAUGUGGGUGGGGCCAGAUAAGAGAAUAAAAGCAGGCUGACCAAGCCAGCAGUGGCAGCCCGCUCGGGUCCCCUUCCACACUGUGGAAGGCUUGUUCUUUUGUUCUUUCGCCCUUUGCAAUAAAUCUUGCUACUGCUCACUCUUUGGGUCCACACUGCCUUUAUGAGGUAUAACACUCACUGCGAAGGUCUGCAGCUUCACUCCUGAAGCCAGCGAGACCAUAAACCCACCAGGAGGAACAAACAACUCCAGACACGCCGCCUUAAGAGCUGUAACAGUCACCCCAAAGGUCCGCAGCUUCACUCUUGAGCCAGUGAGACCACGAACCCACCAGAAGGAAGAAACUCCGAACACAUCCAAACAUCAGAAGGAACAAACUCCAGAUACGCCACCUUUAAGAACUGUAACACUCACUGGGAGGGUCCAUGGCUUCAUUCUUGAAGUCAGUGAGACCAAGAACCCACCAAUUCCGGACACACCAAUACUUUGAGAGGCUGAGGCGGGUGUUCACUUGAGCCAAGUUCAAGACCAGCUCGGGCAACAUGGCAAAACCCCGUCUCUACAAAAAAAAUACAAAAAUCAGCUGGGCGUGGUGGGGCCUGCCUGUAGUUCCAGCUACUCAAGAGGCUGAGGUUCGAGGAUCACUUAAGUCCUGGAGGUGCUGCUGUGAUCUUGCCACUGCACACCAGCCUGGACGAUAAAGUGAUACCCUGUCUCAAGGAAAAAAAAAAAAGAGAGAUCAAUUGCUGGGCGUGGUGGCUUAUGCCUGUAAUCCCAGCGCUUUGGGAAGCCAAGGCAGGCAAUUGCUUGAGCUGAGUUCGAGACCAGCCUGGGCAACAUGGUGAAACCCCAUCUCCACUAAAAAUACAAAAAUUAGCUGGGCAUGGUGGUGCGCUCCUAUAAUCCCAGGUACUCAGGAGGCUGAGGCAGGUGGCGGAGGUUGCAGUGAGCUGAGAUUGCACCAUUGCACUCCAGCCUGGGCGACAGAGCAAGUGGUACUCCAUCUCAAAAAAAAAAUAAAUAAAUAAAAUAAAAAUAAAAAUAAAUAUGCAACUAUCAUAGAUCCAGCCAUUUGGUUCCUUAUCUGAGAGAAAUGAAAGUGUACGUCUACACAAAGACUUGUACACACAUGUUCAUAGUAGCUUUAUUUGUCACAGCCAAAGACUGGAAACAACCCAAAUGACCAUCAAUCAGUGAAUGGACAAAUAGAAUAUGGUCUGUCCAUAUAACUGAAUGCUACUCAGCAACAAAAAAGAAUGAACUACUGAUACACACAACAUGGACAAAUCUCAGAAUAAUACGCUGGGUGAAAGAAGCCAGACAAAAAUGAGUAUAUACUAUACAAUUUUAUAUACAUAAAAUUCUAGAAAAUGCAAACUUAUCUGCAUGAAAGAA
RNAcentral lists this long non-coding RNA (30043 nucleotides) under Homo sapiens (human). RNAcentral describes it as "non-protein coding HNF1A-AS1:5". Lineage: Eukaryota; Metazoa; Chordata; Mammalia; Primates; Hominidae. The record is from RNAcentral.